Molecule: long non-coding RNA, 361 nt
Organism: Zalophus californianus (California sea lion)
Lineage: Eukaryota; Metazoa; Chordata; Mammalia; Carnivora; Otariidae
Exons: 3
Source: RefSeq, a predicted model, not a curated record
AAUAAUUAUUACCAUAUAUAAGGCAUCUCUCUGAUACUUUACAGGUACUAUAUCCUCAAGGCAAGUAUUACUCUCAUUUCAGAGCAGUGAAAAUGAAGGCUUGGAGAGCAUGUGCCACAGACCCUGGGGGGAUCGGAAUCACGACUUGGACCCAUUCUGUAUGACUUCCUCGCCUAUGAUCCUUCAACCAGAAUCCACAGUUACCGAAGAUGGACUUUAGCCAAGCUUCUCAGCACCGAUGUGUAACUUCAUAAACCACAUCCAAGAGAAGAAGAUUGAAAAUGUCAAUAAGGAAAGGUGAUGAUAGUGUCUUCAUGGAACCCUUGGGUCAAGCACAGUCUGGAAGCAGAUGAAUCUUCUU